AGAGGCAAUAAUGUUGAUAUGAGUAACAAGAAAUAAUUCUCCCUGCAUAUGUGUAUAUCAGAACGGAUGGACCACUGAUAGUUAUCAAGAUCAAUGUAACCACAAUCAAGCACAUGAUAAUAAUUGUUAGCCCAACACAGGAAUGCUGAUUAAGAAAAGAAGUAAAAGGAACUCGGC
RNAcentral lists this ribosomal RNA (177 nucleotides) under Lasiurus blossevillii (Western red bat). Its description in RNAcentral is "partial 16S ribosomal RNA". Lineage: Eukaryota; Metazoa; Chordata; Mammalia; Chiroptera; Vespertilionidae. The record is from RNAcentral.